This is a non-coding RNA of Pelobates cultripes (western spadefoot toad), 266 nucleotides long. NCBI's taxonomy places the organism in Eukaryota, Metazoa, Chordata, Amphibia, Anura, Pelobatidae. The record is from the annotation of a GenBank genome assembly.
GCAAUUUCACUGCUCAAUUCACUGUCAUUUAGGAGUAAAAUCACUUUGUUUCUGUUUAUGCAGCCCUAGCCCCACCUCCCCUGGCUAUGAUUGACAGAGCCUGCAUGAAAAAAAAAAACUGGUUUCACUUUCAAACAGAUGUAAUUUACCUUAAAUAAUUGUAUCUCAAUCUCUAAAUUGAACUUUAAUCACAUACAGGAGGCUGUUGCAGGGUCUAGCAAGCUAUUAACAUAGCAGGGGAUAAGAAAAUCUUAAUUAAACAGAAC